UACGGGGGGGGCAAGCGUUGUUCGGAAUUACUGGGCGUAAAGGGCUCGUAGGCGGCCUACUAAGUCAGACGUGAAAUCUCUCGGCUUAACCGGGGAACUGCGUCUGAUACUGGUUGGCUUGAAUCCGGGAGAGGGAUGUGGAAUUCCAGGUGUAGCGGUGAAAUGCGUAGAUAUCUGGAGGAACACCGGUGGCGAAGGCGGCAUCCUGGACCGGUAUUGACGCUGAGGAGCGAAAGCCAGGGGAGCAAACGGG
Molecule: ribosomal RNA, 253 nt
Filed under: uncultured bacterium
Lineage: Bacteria
Description: partial 16S ribosomal RNA
Rfam family: Bacterial small subunit ribosomal RNA
Source: RNAcentral